This 69-nucleotide transfer RNA is filed under the name Nesophrosyne haleakala. Its description in RNAcentral is "tRNA-Asn". Lineage: Eukaryota; Metazoa; Arthropoda; Insecta; Hemiptera; Cicadellidae. The record is from RNAcentral.
UUGAUUGAAGCCAAAGCGGGAGAGGCAGCUUAAUGUUAAUAAGAAUAAUGAUUUUUUAAUCCAAUUAAA